Molecule: long non-coding RNA, 621 nt
Organism: Canis lupus familiaris (dog)
Lineage: Eukaryota; Metazoa; Chordata; Mammalia; Carnivora; Canidae
Exons: 2
Source: RefSeq, a predicted model, not a curated record
GCCAUUUUGCACUGAGUAAAAUAACUAGAAGGAAAAACUCACCUCACAAAAGAAUCAGAAACAGCUCUCUCUCCCGCAGAGUUACAAAAUUUGAAUUACAGUUCAAUGUCAGAAAGCCAAUUCUGAAGCACAAUUAUAAGGCUACUGGUAGCUCUCGAAAAAAGCAUGAAGGAUUCAAGAGACUUCAUGACUGCAGAAUUUAGAUCAUAUCAGGCCGAAAUUAAAAAUCAACUAAACGGGGCACAUUCACAGGUGCAGAAAUCAAGGCCUGGAACUGGAAGUGGUACCACUCUCUAUAAUCCUUCAUGAUCUACUUGCAAACUGUUUACUUUCUGCUCCCACGAUUUUAUAUUCUGCUGGCCUAGAGGUCUCAGUUACAAAGAGAGACACAAAAACAAUCCCACUGAUCCGGAAAUUGAAACUGCUGCCUGGCCACUUUGAGCUCUUCAUGCCUCUGAAUCAAUAGGCAAGCAAGGAAGUUACUAUGCUGGCUGGGUGAUUAAUUCCAAAUUCCUGGGAGGAAUGGGAUGAGCUCCACAAUGGAGGUUAAGAAGAGCACGUGUGAAAAUCAGAGGAUCACUUAACACAUCUUUUAAUAUUACCUUCAUGUUUUCAUUUUCA